This 402-nucleotide ribosomal RNA is filed under the name uncultured bacterium. Its description in RNAcentral is "bacterial SSU rRNA". It matches the Rfam family "Bacterial small subunit ribosomal RNA", at positions 355 to 774 of the family's 1533-position model. The record is from RNAcentral.
UGGGGAAUAUUGGACAAUGGGCGAAAGCCUGAUCCAGCCAUGCCGCGUGAGUGAUGAAGGCCCUAGGGUUGUAAAGCUCUUUUGUGCGGGAAGAUAAUGACGGUACCGCAAGAAUAAGCCCCGGCUAACUACGUGCCAGCAGCCGCGGUAAUACGUAGGGAGCAAGCGUUGUUCGGAUUUACUGGGCGUAAAGGGCGCGUAGGCGGCGCGGUAAGUCACUUGUGAAAUCUCUGAGCUUAACUCAGAACGGCCAAGUGAUACUGCUGCGCUAGAGUGCGGAAGAGGCAACCGGAAUUCUUGGUGUAGCGGUGAAAUGCGUAGAUAUCAAGAGGAACACCUGAGGCGAAGGCGGGUUGCUGGGCCGACACUGACGCUGAUGCGCGAAAGCCAGGGGAGCAAACG